GCUGUAGUUCAGUGGCAGAGCAUUUGCUUUGCAUGCAGAAGGUCCCAGGUUCAUUCCUCAGCAUCUCCA
Podarcis lilfordi (Lilford's wall lizard) is the source of this 69-nucleotide non-coding RNA. NCBI's taxonomy places the organism in Eukaryota, Metazoa, Chordata, Lepidosauria, Squamata, Lacertidae. The record is from the annotation of a GenBank genome assembly.